RNAcentral lists this long non-coding RNA (1068 nucleotides) under Bos grunniens (domestic yak). RNAcentral describes it as "lncRNA (ENSBGRG00000008738.1)". The record is from RNAcentral. Lineage: Eukaryota; Metazoa; Chordata; Mammalia; Artiodactyla; Bovidae.
CACCAGUAACUUAUUUAAAUAUGCCAAGUAGUGCGUACGUAGUAUAAUUUCUAGAAGCCAACAUAUAACUAGCGUAUAAUAUAAAGAUACAGUUAUAGCAAGAAAUCUUCUGUCAAAAUACAAGGCUUUAUAAUGUCAUAUUGCCGUGAUCAAGCAUGCUGCAGAAUAUGAUAGAAUAAACAAAUAAUAAUGAAGAGUUUAUAAUGGAACCUUAAUAUAUACUGUUGCCAGUGACUUUAAUUCCAUAUAUAUACAUUUUUUUUCACUAUUUUCUAUCUGCUGUACGUAAGACUUUAAAGACUUUGAAUGCUGAGGAUAAACUGACACACCCCUUACUCACACAGCAGUAUUCACAGGCUUGAUUUGUUUUUCGCUUUAAGUUGCAUGACGUUUCUGCAGGAAAUAUUAGUUAAUCUCACUCCACGCAUGUAGGGGCUCAGGAAGAAGACUUGUCUCGUCAGCCUGACGUGGCAGACGGCCUCUCUUGCGGUUGACAGCGAGCUAACGCCUCUGUCACGGAGAGAGAGGACCGGGACCUGUCUCCCUUGCUCGUGCCAUCUGAUAAACUUACACUUGUUGCUUCUUUGAGGCUAAUUGCCUUCUUGCUGUGCUGCACUUUUUACGUUUUUCGGUGGAGCUGUCUUCCCAAGACAACGGAGUGUUGGGAGAUGCCAUUAAAUGUCCCCGUGGUGAAGAGUGUGCAGGUCUCUGUGUCGCUGUGUUCGGUGGUACGGGAUGAUGAUGUGAAUAUUUAGAAUGUACCAUAUUUUUUUUUUGUAAAUUAUUUAUGUUUUUUUUUUUAAACAAACUUUUGGUACAGAUGGAUGAAACUUCUUUUGUUUUGCCAAAGACUGUAAAUAUUAAUUUAUUUGUUUCUCAUGGUCAGAUUUUCACCACUGAACCCUGCAUUUAGCUAGAGCCUCAUUUUUAUACUUCAAAGGUUCAUAACAGGAAAUAAAUUGUAAAAAGGUUUUCUAUAAAUCAAUCUCUCUCCCUUUUUUAAAGAGCUAGCAGGGCUCCUGCCGGGGUUCAGUGGACGGACCCCAACAGGACGAGCAGAGCUCUGUG